RNA transcript from Pteronotus mesoamericanus, 3215 nucleotides. It is a transcript of the gene named solute carrier family 4 member 1 adaptor protein, with no coding region annotated. NCBI's taxonomy places the organism in Eukaryota, Metazoa, Chordata, Mammalia, Chiroptera, Mormoopidae. The record is from RefSeq and is a predicted model, not a curated record. The transcript has 15 exons.
GGAGAGGCAGAUGCGGAGGGGAACGCAGAGACCGCAAGGUGAGGUUUCCCAGGACCGAAUUUCGAGGCCGCACCAGAUUAAGGAUGGCCGAUAAUGCCCCUCUGUCCGAGCCAACGGCUUCGCAAGAACUCAAUGGCGACUUCAAAAAGCCAGCCCUGCCGGUGCCCCCGCCGGUGCGGGGCCAGUUCCCGGCUGCCAGUCCUGCAAACCCCGAGGAAGUGAAGGAGAGGCCCACAGCCCUGCAGGACCCGGAUUCCGGGGAGCCUGACGUGCCUCCGCCCCGGCCGGAAGGCACGGAGACCAGGGGCCCCCGGGAGGCGCGGCCGCGGCCCCUCACCGCGGCUCCCGCGCCUGGCGGCCCGGCCCGGGCUCCGCCUUACCGGGAGCCGCCGUGGGGUGGCCCCGCCACGGCCCCCUACAGCUUAGAGACCCUGAAGGGCGGCACGAUCCUUGGCACCCGUAGCUUGAAAGGGACCAGUUGCUGCCUCUUCGGGAGGCUGUCGAGCUGCGACGUGUGCCUGGAGCACCCUUCGGUGUCUCGGUACCACGCCGUGCUGCAGCACGGGCCGUCUGGGCCCGACGGCGAAUGCGACGGCCACGGGCCCGGCUUCUACCUGUAUGACCUGGGAAGCACCCACGGCACCUUUCUCAACAAAACCCGCAUCCCACCCCGCACCUAUUGCCGGGUCCACGUCGGGCACGUUCUGCGCUUCGGCGGCAGCACCAGGCUCUUCCUUCUUCAGGGACCAGAGGAAGACCAAGAGGCAGAAUCCGAGUUGACAGUAACGCAGUUGAAGGAAUUGCGCAAGAAGCAGCAAGUGAUGUUGGAAAAGAAGAUGCUAGGAGAAGACUCGGAUGAAGAUGAGGAAAUGGAUACCCCUGAAACGAAGAGAAAUGCUAGUAGUCAGGAGGACGAAAUGGGCUGCACCUGGGGAAUGGGAGAAGAUGCUGUAGAGGAUGAGGCUGAAGAGAACCCCAUUGUUUUAGAGUUUCAGCAGGAAAGGGAGGCCUUUUAUAUAAAGGACCCAAAAAAGGCUCUGCAAGGUUUUUUCGACCGAGAAGGAGAAGAAUUAGAAUAUGAAUUUGAUGAACAGGGACAUAGCACUUGGCUGUGCAGGGUGAGAUUACCUGUGGAUGAUUCAACUGGAAAACAACUGGUGGCCGAGGCUAUUCACUCAGGAAAGAAAAAAGAAGCAAUGAUCCAGUGCUCCCUGGAAGCUUGUCGAAUCCUUGACACUCUGGGAUUGCUGCGGCAGGAGGCAGUAUCUCGGAAAAGGAAAGCAAAGAACUGGGAAGAUGAAGACUUUUAUGAUAGUGAUGAUGACACAUUUCUUGAUCGAACUGGCCUGGUUGAGAAGAAGCGUCUGAACCGAAUGAAGAAGGCUGGGAAGAUCGAUGAAAAGCCAGAGACAUUUGAAUCAUUGGUUGCAAAGUUAAACGAUGCUGAAAGGGAACUCUCUGAAAUUUCUGAGAGACUGAAAGCCUCAAGCAAAGCUCUAUCAGAGUCACCGUCUCAGGACUCAUUAGAUGCGUUCAUGUCGGAAAUGAAAUCAGGGAGUGCGUUAGAUGGUGUGUCCCGGAAGAAACUUCAUCUGAGAACUUUUGAGCUGAGGAAAGAACAACAGAGACUGAAAGGGUUGAUAAAAAUUGUAAAGCCAGCGGAGAUUCCAGAACUAAAAAAGACUGAAAAUCACACUGUAGAUGCUGAAAAUAAAGCUAAAAAGCUUCCAUUGCCUCUCUUUGGUGCCAUGAAAGGAGGAAGCAAGUUCAAAUUAAAAACUGGAACAGUAGGGAAGUUACCCCCCAAGCGUCCUGAACUCCCUCCAGCUCUAAUGAGAAUGAAGGAUGAGCCUGAAGUAGAAGAGGAAGAAGAGGAAGAAGAAGAGGAGAAAGAAAAGGAAGAUGAGGAAACCAAAAAACCGGAGGCUGGAAGCAGUGGGCUUCAGCAGGAGAGAGGGCCAGAAGAGGCAGUGCAAGGAGUGAGUCUGCCCACAGAUCUGACGUGUUCUAAAGAAGCAAAACAGCACGAUAACAUGUCUCAACUCAGCCAAGUGGAACAGAAUAAAGAUUACCAAGAAAUUAGCGAAACAGCUGCAUCACAGGGGGAACCCUCAGCAUUAAAGAAUGAACAUGAGAAAAGCAGAGAUGAAUUGAAGAAAAAGAAAGCUCCCGGUCCAGGCAAACCUCCACCAGCACUUUCCUCCAAAUAUCCAGAAGAUGACCCAGACUACUGUGUGUGGGUCCCACCUGAAGGUCAAAGUGGAGAUGGCAGGACCCACCUUAAUGACAAGUAUGGCUAUUGAUUGCUUCAGAAUCCUGAAGGAAGACCUGGAGGACCAUGUGGCGUGGGAUAUUUAGGACAGCAUAUCAAGUUGAAUGUCCCGAGAAGGAGUUCAGAUGAUCAUUUGUGAAAUCUGGUGACUGGCCUAUUCUAUGCUGUUGGCUUCCUAAAUGAAAGGAAAGCCUAAGCACGGAAGCAGGUAGAGAGCCCGUGGCCUGGGCAGGAGGCAGUGAGCAGGCAGGAGAAAUGCUGUGGCCCAGCAGGAGAGCGGACCAGGAUGGUGCUUUCCGCGGACUGUGGACUAUGCGGCGUGCACGAGGUAGGCAAGAAGCGGUAGUAAGAGACUUCAGUUACCCCAACAGCUGUGGCAAGUCUGGUCUGCUCAAAGUGGUGUCUUUCAUUUCUCCAAAAACAAUACCAAGAUUGGUAUUGUGAAAAAAAUAUUGUUUUGAACUUCAUUUAGGGCAACAGGGAAGAACUUGUUAAUGAUAUAAGAAGUAACAGGAAUUUUGGGACAGACUUACCACGCCAUCUUGUAUGAAAGCAGUGGACAGGGGUCUGAACUAGAUCAGUGGUCUUCAAAGGUAUAACUCUUUAUUCCAAAAAAAAUUGUAUGUGGGAUCCUAAUAUUCGAACAGGUAAAAAUAUGCCCGCUAUGGUGGAAGUAAGGGCACGGAGAUUGGGUGUGCACACACCGCAUGCGCACAUUCUCUCCUCCUCACAGUGACCCUGAAGGAUCCUGGGGGCUCCACAGAGUGUCGUCUGCUUCAGGAAGGCAGAUUUCUAAGCAUCCUGGGGAGGAAGGCAUGGUCCCACGCCUAGAGACGCCGAAGCAAAUAGUACUCCAUAUGGCAAAAUUAUAGAUUAUGUAACUUGUAUAAUUAAUGUCAGUGGUCAGUGGACUUGAUUCAGAAGACCUGCCCAUGAGUCUUAG